This 200-nucleotide ribosomal RNA is filed under the name uncultured bacterium. Its description in RNAcentral is "partial 16S ribosomal RNA". It matches the Rfam family "Bacterial small subunit ribosomal RNA", at positions 8 to 206 of the family's 1533-position model. The record is from RNAcentral.
AGAGUUUGAUCCUGGCUCAGGACGAACGCUGGCGGCGCGCUUAACACAUGCAAGUCGAGCGAGAACCGGUCCUUCGGGACCGGGGAAAGCGGCGAACGGGUGAGUAACACGUGGGUAAUCAACCCUCGGUACCGGGAUAGCCCGAGGAAACUCGGAUUAAUACCGGAUGGCCCAGCAGCUCUUCGGGGCGGCUGGAAAAG